This 300-nucleotide unclassified non-coding RNA is filed under the name uncultured Sordariomycetes. RNAcentral describes it as "sequence contains ITS1". The stretch from base 1 to 105 matches the Rfam family "5.8S ribosomal RNA", at positions 50 to 154 of the family's 154-position model. The record is from RNAcentral. Lineage: Eukaryota; Fungi; Ascomycota; Sordariomycetes.
GAAAUGCGAUAAGUAAUGUGAAUUGCAGAAUUCAGUGACUCAUCGAAACUUUGAACGCACAUUGCACCCGCCAGUAUUCUGGCGGGCAUGCCUGUUCGCGCGUCAUUUCAACCAUCAAGCCCCAGGCUUGUGUUGGGGACCUGCGGCUGCCGCAGGCCCUGAAAACCAGUGGCGGGCUCGCUGUCACACCGGGCGUAGUAGAUUUUAUCUCGCUCAGGGCGUGCCGCGGCUUCCGGCCGUUAAAAGCCGUUUUUACCCAAGGUUGACCUCGGAUCAGGUAGGAAUACCCGCUGAACUUAA